RNAcentral lists this long non-coding RNA (347 nucleotides) under Equus asinus (donkey). Its description in RNAcentral is "lncRNA (ENSEASG00005036760.1)". Lineage: Eukaryota; Metazoa; Chordata; Mammalia; Perissodactyla; Equidae. The record is from RNAcentral.
CCUCUCUCUCUCUCUCUUUCUGCUCUGUGAGGACACAGCAAGGGCUACCAUCUGCAAGCCAGGAAGACAGCGCUCACCAGGAUCCAAAUCAGCCAGCACCUUGAUCUUGGACUUCCUAGCCUCCAGAACGGUUUGAAAAAUCAUGGGAUUCCUCCCUUCAAGGGCCCCACUGAAGUCUCAGCUCCUCCUGAAGGGUUCUGCUCUGGAAAUCCUGCCAGCAUGAAUCUCUCCCUUAGCUUCUAUUAUCUCUACUGUCCAUUAAAACAAAACAAUCUAUUAUACAGAAUAAUAAAACAAGUAUACAGAAUAAUAAAGGUAUACAAAAUAAUAAAAUAAAUAUCCAUGUA